GCAAGUCGUUAGGUGUUUUGCAUACCUGAAGGCGCAGUGAAAGCAAGAGCCUAUAACUCGGUUGUAGGCACUAUUCAGUAUUGGCGAGAAUCUCUCUCUUCGUAGAGAGCGCAUCGCCGGCCCGUACUUUGCCCACGUGGCUUGCACGGAGCUCGAGCAUACACACUGCGACCCGAAAGAUGGUGAACUAUGCCUGGACAGGACGAAGCCAGGGGAAACCCUGGUGGAAGUCCGAAGCGGUUCUGACGUGCAAAUCGAUCGUCUGAUCUGGGUAUAGGGGCGAAAGACUAAUCGAACCAUCUAAUAGCUGGUUCCCGCCGAAGUAUCCCUCAGGAUAGCACAGGCUUGUCAAAGCAUUAGUCUCUCCCGGUAAAGCGAAUGAUUAGAGGUCUUGGGGCCGAAACGGCCUCAACCUAUUCUCAAACUUUAAAUGGGUGAGAUGUAUGACUUACCUAGCGGAAGUUCAUACAUUAGGAUAGCUAAGUCUGUAGUGGGCCAUUUUUGGUAAGCAGAACUGGCGCUGUGGGAUGAACCGAACGUUGAGUUACGGUGUCCGAGUGCGACGCUCAUCAGACCCCAUAAAAGGUGUUGGUUGCUAUAGACA
Molecule: ribosomal RNA, 604 nt
Filed under: Styraconyx sp. AJ-2010
Lineage: Eukaryota; Metazoa; Tardigrada; Heterotardigrada; Arthrotardigrada; Styraconyxidae
Description: eukaryotic LSU rRNA
Rfam family: Eukaryotic large subunit ribosomal RNA
Source: RNAcentral